Molecule: ribosomal RNA, 390 nt
Filed under: uncultured bacterium
Lineage: Bacteria
Description: bacterial SSU rRNA
Rfam family: Bacterial small subunit ribosomal RNA
Source: RNAcentral
GACGAACGCUGGCGGCGUGCUUAACACAUGCAAGUCGAGCGGUAAGGCCCUUUCGGGGUACGACGAGCGGCGAACGGGUGAGUAACACGUGGGUGACCUGCCUUUAGCUCUGGGAUAAGCCUGGGAAACUGGGUCUAAUACCGGAUAUGACCCUAUGGCGCAUGUUGUGGGGUGGGAAAGCCUUGUGCGGCUAGGGAUGGGCCCGCGGCCUAUCAGCCUGUUGGUGGGGUGAUGGCCUACCAAGGCGACGACGGGUAGCCGGCCUGAGAGGGCGACCGGCCACACUGGGACUGAGACACGGCCCAGACUCCUACGGGAGGGCAGCAGUGGGGAAUCUUGCGCAAUGGGCGAAAGCCUGACGCAGCGACGCCGCGUGAGGGAUGACGGCCU